CAUUGGAUACUGCAAUGGGCUGAAACAUCCACAGUGAACUAAUUCAUUAUCUGCUUUGUCUGUUGUGAUGUUUGUUACACUCUACAUCCUGCACCCUGCACAGCUGCAGCAGUGAUGCCUUGUGUUGAGUAUCAGCUCGAGCUGCCAAGGCAAUGAAUGAUGUAAACAUGGGGGUAAUUCUACGUGGUGAGGGCUCCCACUUCCAGCUUGAUGUGGGCCUUCCAUAUUAUCAAAUGGUUUUGUUUCGGCCGAAGUCAAUGCUGGAGCUACCAUACCUAAGGAUCAUCACACUGCCCUGAACUGGAGCACCUGGAGGAAAUCUACGCAAACAUACGGGAACAUGCAAACUCCACACAGUCGCCCAAGGAUGGAAUCAAACCUGUGAUCCUGGCACUGUAAGGGAGCAGUGCUGACCAUGGAACGACCGCACCACACCUAGAUGUCCUAGAGUUAUGAUGACUGACCUCUAGCAACUAAAACUAACUUCCAUCAAGAAGAUGUAUACUAGAAUGAGGUUUAAAAGAUCUAAUCUGUCUUGCAACUGAGUAAAUAUGCCAUAGAAGCGGCAUACCUGAUAUAAGAACACAAGAUGCUGUUUUCACUCAGGGCGGCAACUCCUCCAGCCUCUGCUACCAGCUCCAUCAUUACCGCCAGUUGUGACUUCACAGUUAACAGACAAAAGACAAUCUUCAUACAGAUUGCAAGGUUUACCAUUUGGCAGAGAAAAACCACAAUGUCAAGCAUUGAAAAGACAGAAUAUCUCAAUAAAUAAAAUUGGCAUCAGUAAUUUACAAUGCAUUAUGUAUGACUUUCAUGAAGUCAUCCCUACAGUGAGUAUUGGUCAUUUAAUAAAUAAGAAUAAAAAAAUUAAGACUGAGAAGCGUAUUGUGAAUAAUGAAUCUGUUCUCGAGAUUAUUAUAAUACAGUCCUUCUCAUGAAGAUACAUCCAUUUUGAGUCAUGAUUGUCAUUUGGUUGAACUGAGGUGUAUUCUUGCGGUGGAUGCAGACACAAAAUCAAUCCUGUCCCAUUCAGCGUUGUUUGGUUGCAGGUCGAGAUUUGUUCAUCACUUUUGCAUAUCAAUGAUAACUGGAGAGAAAAGAAUUAUAUAAUAAAAUGUAAGUUGGACAUGAAACAAGAAUAUGUUGGAGUAAAAAGGU
Stegostoma tigrinum is the source of this 1158-nucleotide long non-coding RNA. RefSeq lists it as uncharacterized. Lineage: Eukaryota; Metazoa; Chordata; Chondrichthyes; Orectolobiformes; Stegostomatidae. The record is from RefSeq and is a predicted model, not a curated record. The transcript has 6 exons.